AUGCAGUCGACGGAGCUUUUCGGAGCUAAGUGGCGGACGGGUGAGUAACGCGUGAGAAUCUACCUUUUGGAUGGGGACAACACUGGGAAACCAAUGCUAAGACCCCAUAGGCUGAAAAGUGAAAAACGAAAGUUGCCAAGAGAGGAGCUCGCGUCUGAUUAGCUAGUUGGUAGUGUAAAAGACAACCAAGGCGACGAUCAGUAGCUGGUCUGAGAGGACGAACAGCCACACUGGGACUGAGACACGGCCCAGACUCCUACGGGAGGCAGCAGUGGGGAAUUUUCCGCAAUGGGCGAAAGCCUGACGGAGCAAUACCGCGUGAGGGAGGAAGGCCUUUGGGUUGUAAACCUCAAAAAUUAGGGAAGAAAAAAAUGACGGUACCUAAAAUAAGCAUCGGCUAACUCCGUGCCAGCAGCCGCGGUAAUACG
This 428-nucleotide ribosomal RNA is filed under the name uncultured bacterium. RNAcentral's name for it is "bacterial SSU rRNA". It matches the Rfam family "Bacterial small subunit ribosomal RNA", at positions 55 to 527 of the family's 1533-position model. The record is from RNAcentral.